Molecule: ribosomal RNA, 405 nt
Filed under: uncultured prokaryote
Description: bacterial SSU rRNA
Rfam family: Bacterial small subunit ribosomal RNA
Source: RNAcentral
UGGGGAAUAUUGCGCAAUGGGCGAAAGCCUGACGCAGCGACGCCGCGUGGGUGAUGAAGUUCUUCGGAACGUAAAACCCUGUCGGGAGGAACGAAGAUCUGACGGUACCUCCAAAGGAAGCCCCGGCUAACUCCGUGCCAGCAGCCGCGGUAAUACGGGGGGGGGCAAGCGUUAUUCGGAAUUACUGGGUGUAAAGGGCGCGUAGGCGGCCGAAUUGGUCAGGUGUGAAAUCCCUAGGCUUACCUUAGGAACUGCGGUUGAUACCAUUCGGCUUGAGUACAGGAGAGGGGGGCGGAAUUCCAGGUGUAGCGGUGAAAUGCGUAGAUAUCGGGAAGAACACCGGUGGCGAAGGCGGCUCACUGGAAUGUAACUGACGCUGAAGCGCGAAAGCGUGGGGAGCGAACG